CAAUUACAGUGGAUGUUUUAUAUACUGUAUGCAACCCUGUUGGCAAAGUGCAACGUAUUGUUAUAUUCAAGAGAAAUGGGAUACAAGCAAUGCUUAUGUUUGAAUCAGUCCUUUGUGCCCAGAAAGCUAAAGCAGCACUCAAUGGAGCUGAUAUAUAUGCUGGAUGUUGCACACUAAAAAUUGAAUAUGCACGGCCAACUCGUCUAAAUGUUAUUAGGAAUGACAAUGACAGUUGGGACUACACUAAACCAUAUUUGGGAAGACGAGAUAGAGGAAAGGGUCGCCAGAGACAAGCCAUUUUGGGAGAACACCCUUCUUCGUUUAGACAUGAUGGCUAUGGAUCCCAUGGUCCAUUAUUGCCUUUACCAAGUCGUUACAGAAUGGGCUCUCGAGAUACACCUGAACUUGUUGCUUAUCCAUUACCACAGGCUUCUUCCUCUUACAUGCAUGGAGGAAAUCCCUCUGGUUCAGUUGUAAUGGUUAGUGGAUUACAUCAACUAAAAAUGAAUUGUUCAAGAGUCUUCAACCUGUUCUGCUUAUAUGGAAAUAUUGAGAAGGUAAAAUUUAUGAAGACCAUUCCUGGUACAGCACUGGUAGAAAUGGGUGAUGAGUAUGCUGUAGAAAGAGCUGUCACACACCUUAAUAAUGUCAAAUUAUUUGGGAAAAGACUUAAUGUUUGCGUGUCUAAACAACAUUCAGUUGUUCCAAGUCAAAUAUUUGAGCUGGAGGAUGGUACCAGCAGCUACAAAGAUUUUGCAAUGAGCAAAAAUAAUCGCUUUACAAGUGCUGGCCAAGCAUCUAAGAAUAUAAUCCAGCCACCCUCCUGUGUUUUGCAUUAUUAUAAUGUUCCAUUGUGUGUCACAGAAGAGACCUUCACAAAGUUGUGUAAUGACCAUGAAGUUCUUACAUUCAUCAAAUAUAAAGUGUUUGAUGCAAAACCUUCAGCCAAAACACUUUCUGGGCUAUUAGAAUGGGAGUGCAAAACUGAUGCAGUAGAAGCCCUUACGGCACUGAAUCACUAUCAGAUAAGAGUGCCGAAUGGUUCCAAUCCCUAUACAUUGAAGCUUUGCUUUUCUACAUCAUCCCAUUUAUAAGAAGAGAAGAGCAUGUUAGAAUUUAUGUUCACCUUUAUUACAAUUUCAAAGCUACACUUCAUUAAAAAAAAAUCUAAAAUGGUUGAUCUCAUGUUGCCUUGCUUACUUUAAGAUCCUGUUCUGUAAUAAACAUAUUUUGCCUUGAGUAAAUUUGUUGUAAGCUUAAAUAUUGAAUUGUUUUCAUUUUAAGAUAGAAUAUCAUAAUGUAGACUAUCUACAGCUUCAUUGUAGAUUAUACAGAUAUAUGAUUUCUAACCUUAUUACUGGAAUUUUUCUUCCACAGUAAAAAUAUAUUUGCAUUCUUAAUGCUAAUUAUCUGCAAGUAUUUUUUCAUUGUGUAAGAGAUUAAUGCAGGUGAAAGUAUUGCAUUUUAAUAUAGAAUUCCUAUUAUAUGUUUAGAUGUUUAAGUAUGUUGCAGUUACUCAUAUUAAACAUAACUUGUAUAUUUAUUAUUUUAAUGAAGUUUGAGAAUAACGUUACAUAUGUUGAAUUUUAAGUACUACAGAUUUAACUGAUUUUAUAUUUCUGAAAGGCUAACAGACAUGGAUACACGUGUACAGUAUGCAUUCAAACUUAUUUAAAUUGGUGUAUUUUUUUUUAAGUCACUGUCCAUUUGUAUUGACAUGCCUCUGUUUCUAGUCCAGUUUGGAGAUUUUAUAAAGUU
Molecule: long non-coding RNA, 1758 nt
Filed under: Homo sapiens (human)
Lineage: Eukaryota; Metazoa; Chordata; Mammalia; Primates; Hominidae
Description: long non-coding RNA NONHSAT184500.1
Source: RNAcentral